CGAGCUCUGCGCAGGGAUUUACCUAGUUAGGUAUUGGGUUAGGUUGCACUCAUUCCGGUUCACGUCAGGUUUACUGUAUGCGAACAAGUACGCUGAGACGCAGUCACGAUGACUAAGUUGCCCGCAGCACGUUACUUUCACUCAGAAUGAACUUAAAGUUGGAAAAAAAAGAAAAAAACAGCCGAUUGAAAUAAAACCAGAAAGCACUCAGCAGAAAUGUGUCUCCAGGACAGCAUCGCAUGCACAGGCCAGGACAAUCAGAGAUUCGGACUAUACUAUUUCUUGUAUGUUUUUUCUGCUAUCAUAGCUAUAUAUGCUAUAUGUUUUAUGAGCUGUGUGUCAGUUGCUGCUAUGUUUUGCACCUUGGCCCUGAAGGAACACUGUUUCAUUUGGUUGUGUCCAUGUGUGUGGCUGAAUGACAAUUAAACUUGAAUAUAAAUUUAUCUAUUUUUGUCUAUUUGCCUCAUUUGUUUUACAGAAUUUCUCUUUGAUGAAAAGAAAACAAUUCAGUUUGUGAAAUGAUCAGACAUCUGUUGGCCAGAGGGAAUGAUCCCUGUAACUGAGGUUGGAGAUAAAUCACACCCACUUCUCCGAAAGAGAAGUAAUCAGCAGCUUAUUUUAUUUGAAAAUAUAACUUAAGGUUGUAAAAAUAAGUGACGUCUACUGAAAAACAUUGUAUGUGUACUGAGAAGAAAUAUAUUGCAUAUGCUGGAAAUCCGAUACCAAAAUAGAAAGUGUUGGGAGCACCCAAACAUU
Molecule: long non-coding RNA, 756 nt
Organism: Hypanus sabinus (Atlantic stingray)
Lineage: Eukaryota; Metazoa; Chordata; Chondrichthyes; Myliobatiformes; Dasyatidae
Exons: 3
Source: RefSeq, a predicted model, not a curated record